Molecule: long non-coding RNA, 2979 nt
Organism: Hylaeus anthracinus
Lineage: Eukaryota; Metazoa; Arthropoda; Insecta; Hymenoptera; Colletidae
Exons: 3
Source: RefSeq, a predicted model, not a curated record
UGCAGAGAUACUGUUCGUCAGCGGAGGAAGUGGAAACUUUAUAUAACAAAAGUACAUCUAUCAAUGAAUAGGAGAAAAAACCUUUCUUACGUUCUUCUCAUAAUAUUUAACCAAUUACAAAGCCAAACCAGUGUCAAUUACUUCGACGAUUUUCCUCGCUAUUCAAGACGUACGUAAACAUUGUACAGAAGUAAACAUUUGAACUCGCAUUUUUCGUUUGAAAUGAAUCGUCUGAGAAGGUUUAGACGGACGUCGCCUCAUUUCAGGUUCUACUAUACAUUUUGUACUACUACUACGUAUUUAUACAACUAUGUUCGUUUUAUAUUUAUAUGUUGCGCAAUCGACGCACAAAGUACGCGAUUUCCAUAUUUGCUAUUCGAAAGUGUCUUCCAUCUACGGGCAAUUUCCAAGAACUACGUAAUAAUUACGAGCCUAAGCAUCACCGUGGACGAAAGAUCGUCGAACGAAAAAACGCGAUAACUAUUUACGUUUCCAUACGUUCAUUUGUCUGCUAAUUUUCUCGGACGUUAACGACGCGCGCAUUCUUAGGCAUUGCCGGCGUAUUCCGAUACGAGAGAGUACGUUCAAUCAAAUUUACAAGCUACCCGUAUGAAUCAGAUUUUAAUUGCAUCCGCAUAUAUGUAUUAGGUAGAACGUGUCGCGUCGAUACGAAAUUUAUGAAUCAUGCUUGGCAAGGUUUCUGCUUCAUUAUCGCCUCUGCAAAUGACUAUUCUCAACGGCGUGUCGAGAUACAAUCUGGAGGCAACAAUCGUCGCUGUUAAAAUUGUCAAGUUGAAUGGAACGACUGGACAUAUUUCUCGAAACUUGGGAACCGCUUGGGGACCUUUGUUCAUUUCUCCACUUCUCGCUACGACGCAACGCGAUGGAUGCGCCGAAUGAUAAAACGUAUCAACUCGAGGAUAUACCAGUGCUCAAAGGUCAAACUAUCCACGAAACGGGCAAUUGGCUUGGCUGUUCGUCUAAAGCUUAGGAUUGGUCAAAGCGGUAGCAGUUUUGCUCUCGAGUCGGCGCGAAGGGAAGCGUAACGUCAUAAGUGAUAUACAAUGAUGUAGUACACCUGUAUCGGAUCAUAAAUUCCAGACCCUUUAACGAGUCGCUGGCAGAAAACAAGGCAGAAGAGAGGAGCGCAUUACGCGUCGAGGCUGGUAAAUCGGUGGAUAACGCCUCGGUAAUAAUAUCGGCGAGCCAAUCAAACGGGCAACUAACCAAUCAAUCAACGGGAGUCUAGCAACCAACUAACCCAAGCAACGAAACAACCAACGAACCAACUUGCCUACCUAAGCUACCUAGGAGGGAGAGAUGCGCGAGCUUGUUCGCGCACCAUAUAUGGCCAUCAGCGCGCGGCCUGAACUCGUGCUGCGCUUCCACCGGAGAUUCUCACAAAUUUACGCAGGGCUAUGUGUUUCCCCGGGUGACUUUCUCUCCCCCAGGUCUGGCAGCCACCACCGGAUACUUUUUUCCCUGGGCGAACCGUCGCGUCGCGGAAACCUAUGCGUUAUACAUGCAUUUCGACUCCCUCGUUAGGACGCGUACACAUGUCGCGAGGGGACCGAGGAUCGCGUAUGCAUCGAGAGAAAGCAAAUCGCGUCCCGCUCAGACCGCUACCAGAGAUUAGGAAGGCAGCUCGUCUUUCGAUGGAUCACGCGGCUACUCCGGUGGCGAGCGAUCCUCUCGUUACCAAACCAUCGAUUUCAUGCGAGAGGCGUACCAUCCACGGGGACCGCGAUGGACCCUCUUCUUAUGGAAAAGCGAUCCUGGUCGAUUUGUUUCCUGGCUUUCGAGACGCUGUCCACGCAUCCAAAACCGAUGCUCCCGUGCACGUCCAUCACAGGAGGAAGAAAAGCAAAACGAAGCGUUCUUCGACCUGGAGGGGCAGAGAGAGAGAGAGCAAGAAAGAGGAGCUUCCGCGAAGCUCGAAUCGUUUCCACGUCGCAAGCUUGGCUCUGACCGAGAUGGGCAAAAUUGUAUUCCAAUAAAAACCCCGUAUAGUGAUUUAUUAGCGACGUUUAUUCGAUUGAACAGUUAUACAGAUCAGUUUUUACCCGUUCAACGCGCGGUGCUGCGGUUGGACUGGUACCGUGUACCGCCUAAAAAUCGUACGGGGUCUUCGGCGUACCUGCAAGACUUCGUAAAGAACUUCUGGGCAAUAUUGUAUUUAUGCGAUCCGUCGGCAUCGGUAUUAUAAUACUAGUUUUAUCGUAGAUCCAUAUGGUUAUCUCGUCGGUAUUUAUUUACCAUAAUGGAACGAAUCAAAAUCGAAUCAAAAUGGAAUCAAAAUGAAACGUAAAAGACUCUUUCUUUUAGAAUGUACAGAUCGAUAUCUCGGGAAAUUCCAUUUAUAACGUUUAAUUUUUCUUUCAGAAGAAGAAGCAAGGCCUACCGUGAUCUUUCCUAUAAUUACUCGUUAAUGUCAACGAUCCAACAAGUCCCGGGUGCCAUGAACGUCGACGUAACCGCGCGUGUUCGUAAAGGAUUUCCGAAAGCACGGAGGGCUGCGAAAGCGGCCCUUGUCCUGCAGAGGCAGGCGUUGUCGACAAUCACUUCCGAGUCGCAUUUGUACCCCCCAUUACCACGGGUGUGUAUAGAAGGCGCGACAAAAACCGGCAUUCCUGAUUCUUAAGUUGGACUCUAUAUAAGUAUCUGCCAUCGCGAACAUUGCCUGUAUAUGGCGACAACCAGGCUUUGACAAAGGUGACCGUAUAUGGUAUUCUGCUUCCACCUUCCAUACCUUCUCUCUCUCUAGCUCUCUCCCCGCCAUCUUUCUCUUUCCCUUCCCUUACAGCCCUCCUCUCCCACCUGUCUUCUUUGCCAUUCUCUCUAUCGCCCUGGCAGACUUCUUGCUACCGUUGUCCUCGUCGCUUCCUCGUGUCCGAUCCAUCGGGGUGCCUCCUCGACGAAAUGCAUCAUAAUCGUUAAGUCGUUAGAUCGUAAAUCAUGGCUUGGAACCCCCGUUGCAAU